RNAcentral lists this long non-coding RNA (2713 nucleotides) under Mus musculus (house mouse). RNAcentral's name for it is "long non-coding RNA chr5:150678388-150681101". Lineage: Eukaryota; Metazoa; Chordata; Mammalia; Rodentia; Muridae. The record is from RNAcentral.
UCCAGGACAGCCAGGGCUACAGAGAAACUCUGUCUCGAAAAACCAAAAAAAAAAAAAAAAAAAAAAAUCCAGUAACCUGCUGCUAACAAAUGCUAGAAUAUUUACUUAAAAAUAUUUCUAGGAGCAGUAUUAUUCUAUUGUGGGUUUUUUUUUUGUUGUUGUUAUUUAUUUUUUUUUUUUAAGGAAGAAACUUGCCAGGUGUUGGUGGUGCAUGCCUUUAAUCUCAGCACUUGGGAAGCAGAGGCAGGCAGAUCUCUGAGUUGGAGGUCAGCCAGAGCUACAUAGAGAAACCUUGUCUUGAGUAACUACCACCAUCAUCAUUAUCAACAAUAACAAAAAAAAAAAAAGAAGAAGAAAGAAAGAAAAAAUAAAAAAGGAAGAAAGAAGAGAAAAGAAUAAAAAAGGAAAAGAAACUUUCCCUUUUCAAGUUAAAGAGUUUUCUUCAUGCUGCCCCAUAGAUGUCAACAGGCUUAAAAAAGAGUAUUUUAUUGAAGGUGCCUGCCAUAGUUAAGUAAUGUUAGUCUGCAGGGGACUAGAUGACAUUGGCGUUUGCUAAACUUUGUGUUCUUUCCAAUUUGAUGUGCUGUGCCUGUCUUACUUUACGCUUGCUUUUCUGAGAGUACAGACCUUUGUGUGUGUGUGCAUUAUUGGGAAGCCACUGCAGUCCAGUUGCAUGCAGCCCAGUUGCACUGCAGCCCAGUUGCACUGCAGUUGCAUGCAGUUCAGUUGCACUGCAGCCCAGUUGCAUGCAGUCCAGUUCAUGCAGCCCAGUGGCACUGCAGUUGCAUGCAGUUCAGUUGCACUGCAGCCCAGUUGCACUGCAGCCCAGUUGCACUGCAGCCCAGUUGCAGUACUUUAAUUUCUUGCUGAGCCCCUCCCCUUUCCUAGGAGCUAAGGUAUCUGAGAAGGAAAGGUGAGACUGAACUUUUGAAGAGGAAUACGAUUUGGAGGUGAUAGCACCUUGAGGGGAUUUGGGUCUGAAUGGAGAGGUUGUGUGCGAGAGUCUUUGAGCAGCUGAGGGUAUUGAAAGCCCAGAACCAGUAGGAAGAGUUGGAGAUCUGGGAGCCAGGAUAGAUGAAUUUUGUGAGGAGUCAACUCUGCUUUGUACUGACCCAUCCAUCGCUCACCCUUCCAACCUUCAAGUGUUGUUACAUUUUUUAUUCAUAUUGUCAUUUGAUUGAUUACUCUGCCCUGGCGGGAGUGACAAUCUAGACCUUGUUUCUCCAAAUUUGAGGGUUUAGCUCUUCUGAAAAAUGAACUUGAGUUUCCUUCAAACCAAUCAAGGUAGCAGCUUUUUUCUUGGUGUCCUUUCGUUCUAUUUCCUGGUCCUUUCUGGGACCUCUCCGUAAACCCUGUCAGUGGCUUCAUGUGCUGAAGUGUAUAGAACUUGGAAUGUAGGUUGAGUUUAGUUUCUGUCUCAUGUCUUCCCGUUCCUGCAUCCCUCUCUCCCCUGUGGGCACAGGUGUAUGCAGCCUCAUGGGUGCCACAGUGCAUGUGCUGUAGGUCAGAGGACAGACAGGUUUUCAGGAGUGGGUUUUUACCUUCCAUCUUGUGUUUAAUUUUGUUUUUCUAGACAGUUAACUGUUUAUAGCCCUGGCUGUCCUGAAACUCCUUCUGUAGAUCAGGCUGGUCAGGCUGGUCUUGAACACCCAAGAGAUCUGUCUGCCUCUGCCUUCAGAGUGCUGGGAUUAAAGACAUGUGCAACCACGUCCUGGUAGGGAUCUUUCUGUGUUUCUGCUGUUUUUGUAACCUGUGAGCUUCCAGCCCAGUUUAUUCCCACCUCUCAUCUUGUUAUAAGAUUGCUGGGGUUAUAGACAACAAACUGUCACAAUCCAUUUUUUUAUUUUUAAAUGUGACUUCCAGGAAUUGAGUUGAGGUCCUUAGGCAAACACUCUCACCCAUCAAGCCAUCUUGAUAGCCCGAGCUUUACUUUAAAAAAAAAAAAAAGAAAUUUAUUUUUUUGGGGGGGGCUUAGGAGAUGAUUGGUUUAAAACACCCUCAUCUUACUUUUCCUGUGCAUGUGCAUGUGCACGUGUGUGUGUGUGUGUGUGUGUGUGUGUGCGCGCGCGCGCGCUAUCAAGAUGGCUGGUCCUUUUGUCCUGUUUACUCCUAGUCUAGGCAGUUGGUUUUCAAAGGGAUGAUUUUGGACUCCCAGUUCCUCUAAUCCUCAAGACUUUUUUUUUUUUUUAAGUGUCUGAAUUUAGUUACUACAAAUAGGAGACAGGAUGGAUUUGACACUAGUGGGUAGGGGCCAGACAUGGAGUCGGCUAAACAUUUGGUGCUUAUAUAGAGAACAUCCUUUUACCACAAAAGGUUACUUAGCCUAAAAAUGUUAAUUGUGCCAAAGUUGAGACAAUCCUGUCUGGGCAGAAUCGGCCUAGUGGGCUUGUGUUCACCACUGAGUUAGCUGAAGUAGGUAUGCCCACAACUUACAUUAUAGCAACCCGACAGUAGGAGUGCUUCAUAAUCUUCCUCUGUAGUGUUGGGUGCUUCCUCUCUCUCUCGUUACUCUCACACCUUUCCUGUGACUUUCCUUCCCCAGCUUGAUGAUGCUUCAUAAUUAGGUUAGGUAUUCUAGCAUUUAAGGCUGAACAUCCAGCUAGGUGUAGUGGGUGCACACCUUUAGUCCCAGCACUCAGGAGGCUCAAGGCCAGCCUAAUCUGUAGAUGGAGUUCAAGGACAGCUAGGGCUACACAGAGAAGCCCUGUUUUGG